Long non-coding RNA from Limulus polyphemus (Atlantic horseshoe crab), 970 nucleotides. RefSeq lists it as uncharacterized. The transcript is spliced from 2 exons. The record is from RefSeq and is a predicted model, not a curated record. Lineage: Eukaryota; Metazoa; Arthropoda; Merostomata; Xiphosura; Limulidae.
AUAAAAGUAGCUUGAAAAGUGCAAGAGUAGAGAAACAGAGAGCAAAGUUAGAGGUCCAGAUCAGCGAGCUUGCAUCAAGUAACCUGCAGCUUGUUAUAGAAGAAACGUUAAGAAAAAAAUGUUGCGUACAACAUCUUCCAUUGUUACCUUGGUGAUUUUGGUUACUAUCGUAACCUUCCAGCCUUCGGAGAGUUUUGGUCGAGGACCGUUUCGGAGCUUGGCACUUGUAAAAAAACUUGCUUCCAGCUCACCUUAUAACAAUGGUCUUCAACUGAUGUCAUCAGAUCCUUUGUACAGUUUCGAUCACACUCCUCCUUUUGAAUGGAGAGUAGCACGCAACCCAUUCCAUGACUCUCUGAACUACCUGGCUUACCUGGUGAAGAAGAAGGCAACAGAGAUCGAAGACGAGAACCAGGAAACCGAACAAGAACCUAAAAGUGACGGAAACCGCAAGUUUCAGACCCAAGGCUGGAGACGGUAGACGAACCAAGUGGAUCCAUUUUUUUUUCGUUCAAAAGUACUCUCUAAAAACUUAUGGGCAAUUCUUUCCCAACUCUGGAGCAAAAGUAAAUCUUCAAAAUAAUGGAUAAAAUCAUUAUUUUUUAUAAUUCUGUAAUAACUGUACAUUACUCUCUUUUUUUUCUAAACGAAUUCGUAACACAAAUAUCAAAUGUAAUAGCUUUUUCUUUUUCUUUUUUUUCUGCUUAAUAUUUCAUAAGUUCGUAUUUGAACUAAUGUUGGGUAAAAAUUGCCCAGAUUUUGUUGUGGGAUAUUGGUAACGUCAAUGAAUUUUAUAAAUAACAUGUAGUUCUCAAAUAUAGUAUUGCAAAUUAAUUCGGUACGUGAAUUGAUAAUAAACUAAAUUAAGCUUCUAAAUGCAGAAGAGAUAUUAAAAUAUGCUUCCUGUUACUGUAUUUUUCAUUUGGAAAAUGUUUCCUUCCAAUAAAGUUUGAUGUUUAUGCUCAAAUGA